RNAcentral lists this unclassified non-coding RNA (194 nucleotides) under Basidiomycota sp. RNAcentral describes it as "partial contains small subunit ribosomal RNA, internal transcribed spacer 1, and 5.8S ribosomal RNA". The stretch from base 1 to 47 matches the Rfam family "Eukaryotic small subunit ribosomal RNA", at positions 1785 to 1831 of the family's 1831-position model. The record is from RNAcentral. Lineage: Eukaryota; Fungi; Basidiomycota.
AAAGUCGUAACAAGGUUUCCGUAGGUGAACCUGCGGAAGGAUCAUUAAUAAUCGGCGAAGCUUUCGAGCCUAGCUUUAAAAUAUGAUAUACACCUGUGAACUAUUUGCCUUCGGGCACCAAACCAAACAUAAUGUCAAUGAAUGUAAACAUAUUAUAACAAAUAUAACUUUCAACAACGGAUCUCUUGGCUCUC